AACGAACGCUGGCGGCAUGCCUAACACAUGCAAGUCGAACGAGACCUCCGGGUCUAUUGGCGUACGGGUGUGUAACGCGUGGGAACCUGCCCUUAGGUUCGGAAUAACUCCCCGAAAGGGGUGCUAAUACCGGAUAAUGUCUUCGGACCAAAGAUUUAUUGCAUCUGGAUGGGCCCGCGUUGGAUUAGCUGGUUGGUAGGGUAAAAGCCUACCAAGGCGACGAUUCAUAGCUGGUCUGAGAGGAUGAUCAGCCACACUGGGACUGAGACACGGCCCAGACUCCUACGGGAGGCAGCAGUGGGGAAUAUUGGACAAUGGGCGAAAGCCUGAUCCAGCAAUGCCGCGUGAGUGAUGAAGGCCUUAGGGUUGUAAAGCUCUUUUACCCGGGAUGAUAAUGACAGUACCGGGAGAAUAAGCUCCGGCUAACUCCGUG
Molecule: ribosomal RNA, 433 nt
Filed under: uncultured bacterium
Lineage: Bacteria
Description: partial 16S ribosomal RNA
Rfam family: Bacterial small subunit ribosomal RNA
Source: RNAcentral